UGGGGAAUAUUGCACAAUGGGGGAAACCCUGAUGCAGCGACGCCGCGUGAACGAAGAAGGUAUUCGUAUCGUAAAGUUCUGUCCUAUGGGAAGAUAAUGACAGUACCAUAGAAGAAAGCUCCGGCUAAAUACGUGCCAGCAGCCGCGGUAAUACGUAUGGAGCGAGCGUUGUCCGGAAUUAUUGGGCGUAAAGGGUACGCAGGCGGUUUCAUAAGUCGAAUGUUAAAGAUCGGGGCUCAACCCCGCAAAGCAUUGGAAACUGAUAAACUUGAGUAGUGGAGAGGAAAGUGGAAUUCCUAGUGUAGUGGUGAAAUACGUAGAUAUUAGGAGGAAUACCAGUAGCGAAGGCGACUUUCUGGACACAAACUGACGCUGAGGUACGAAAGCGUGGGGAGCAAACAGG
This 403-nucleotide ribosomal RNA is filed under the name bacterium. Its description in RNAcentral is "partial 16S ribosomal RNA". It matches the Rfam family "Bacterial small subunit ribosomal RNA", at positions 355 to 776 of the family's 1533-position model. The record is from RNAcentral.